This 253-nucleotide ribosomal RNA is filed under the name uncultured bacterium. RNAcentral describes it as "partial 16S ribosomal RNA". It matches the Rfam family "Bacterial small subunit ribosomal RNA", at positions 524 to 776 of the family's 1533-position model. The record is from RNAcentral.
GACAGAGGGUGCAAACGUUGUUCGGAUUUACUGGGCGUAAAGCGCGUGUAGGCGGCCCUGCAAGUCGGAUGUGAAAUCCCACGGCUCAACCGUGGAAGUGCAUUCGAAACUGCAGGGCUAGAGUCCUGGAGAGGAAGGUGGAAUGCUUGGUGUAGAGGUGAAAUUCGUAGAUAUCAAGCGGAACACCGGUGGCGAAGGCGGCCUUCUGGACAGUGACUGACGCUGAGACGCGAAAGCGUGGGGAGCAAACAGG